AGCAGCCGCGGUAAUUCCAGCUCCAAUAGCGUAUAUUAAAGUUGUUGCAGUUAAAAAGCUCGUAGUUGAAUUUCGGGGUCAGUAGGUUGGUCGUGCCACUGGUAUGCACUGGUCUCACUGAUUCCUCCCUCUUGUAGAACCGUAAUGCCAUUAAUUUGGUGUUGCGGGGAAACAGGACUGUUACUUUGAAAAAAUUAGAGUGUUUAAAGCAGGCUAACGCUUGAAUACAUUAGCAUGGAAUAAUGAAAUAGGACGUUCGAUCCUAUUUUGUUGGUUUCUAGGAUUGACGUAAUGAUUAAUAGGGAUAGUUGGGGGCAUUAGUAUUCAAUUGUCAGAGGUGAAAUUCUUGGAUUUAUUGAAGACUGACUACUGCGAAAGCAUUUGCCAAGGAUGUUUUCAUUAAUCAAGAACGAAAGUUAGGGGAUCGAAGACGAUCAGAUACCGUCGUAGUCUUAACCAUAAACUAUGCCGACUAGGGAUCGGAUGAUGUUAAUUUUUAAUGACUCAUUCGGCGCCUUAC
Molecule: ribosomal RNA, 520 nt
Filed under: uncultured Glomus
Lineage: Eukaryota; Fungi; Glomeromycota; Glomeromycetes; Glomerales; Glomeraceae
Description: SSU rRNA
Rfam family: Eukaryotic small subunit ribosomal RNA
Source: RNAcentral